This 477-nucleotide ribosomal RNA is filed under the name uncultured bacterium. RNAcentral describes it as "bacterial SSU rRNA". It matches the Rfam family "Bacterial small subunit ribosomal RNA", at positions 53 to 507 of the family's 1533-position model. The record is from RNAcentral.
ACCAAUGAAGAUUGAGUGCUUGCACAAAAGUUGGGAUUUGGAUUUGCAUCUAGUGGCAGACGGGUGAGUAACACGUGGGUAACCUACCCUGAAGACUGGGAUAACAGUUAGAAAUGACUGCUAAUACCGGAUGAUUCAUGAGAAGAUAACUUUUCAUGCUAAAAGGAGCGUUUGCUUCACUUCAGGAUGGGCUUGCGGUGUAUUAGCUAGUUGGUGGGGUAAUGGCUCACCAAGGCAACGAUGCAUAUCCGAGCUGAGAGGCUGAUCGGACACACUGGGACUGAGACACGGCCCAGACUCCUACGGGAGACAGCAGUUAGGAAUAUUCGUCAAUGGAGGAAACUCUGAACGAGCAAUGCCGCGUGAGUGAUGAAGGUCUUUAUGAUUGUAAAACUCUGUUGUAAAGGAAGAACAACUAUCAUAGGAAAUGAUGAUAGUCUGACGGUACUUUGCCAGAAAGCCCCGGCUAACUACGUG